This 207-nucleotide ribosomal RNA is filed under the name uncultured bacterium. RNAcentral's name for it is "partial 16S ribosomal RNA". It matches the Rfam family "Bacterial small subunit ribosomal RNA", at positions 568 to 774 of the family's 1533-position model. The record is from RNAcentral.
CGUCUAGGCGGGGAGUUAAGUUAGGUGUGAAAUCCAUGGGCUCAACUCAUGAACUGCAUCUAAAACUGAUUCUCUUGAGUUCGGGAGAGGAAAGCGGAAUUCCCGGUGUAACGGUGAAAUGUGUAGAUAUCGGGAGGAACACCAGUGGCGAAGGCGGCUUUCUGGCCUAGAACUGACGCUGAAGCGCGAAAGCGCGGGUAGCGAACG